UGCAUGCAAAAUGACGCCAUCUCUCUUCCAAAUGCUGCUAUUGGCUGCUGCCUCGAUAGGAAUAGCGCAAACGCGGCAUUUACUCGCCAAGGAAUUGGCAAAACACCAAGUGACGUCAUCACUGGGCACAAGGGUUGCUAGCGUUGAAACGCAGAGCAUUCUCAAAUAUUACAACAAUAACAACACGAGCUUUGCGGUAGAGGGCGCAAACGCCAGCUCAACACAGCAGCCGCAGCCGCAGCCAGCAUUGGAGCAUCCAAGGCAAAGACAAUUGAGGCUCGAGGACGACGGCAACGGCAUCGCUUUGACUGUCUACAUCAGAUCGCCGAAGAGUGUAGUUCAGGACUGGAGUUUGGUGUGCCAGCAGCUCUGCGGAGCUGGCCUGGGCGGUCCGCCGUGCGAUUCCCACUGCCACAGCAGCGAGGAACCGUCGCUUCUACCAGCGUUUUCCGGCUACAAACAAAAUAUUUGCAAGGAUCUUUGUAGACUACAGCUCGGUGAUCAAAGUUGCAACUGCACGGCUGACGAAGCGGUCACCACUAUGUCACAAAACACUACGAACUCCCAGUACGAAUGGGGCAAUGUAGUCUGCAACAGCUUUUGUGAACAUUCCAGAGAAACAUUGACCGGCUGUAGCAUCUGCAUGGAGGACGACGCGGAAGUGCAGGUUUCGAUGCGAUCCACGGUGGAAACAACAACACCAGACUGGAAGGAGUUGUGUGUCGCUUUAUGUAAAACUGGCGAUGGCGGGUCUUUGUGCAAUUGUGAUUUGGCGCCGUUUUUUUAAAGAUCUAGCAGGGCGCGAGCACGGGUGGGCAACAUUAAACAUUCGGAUGUUUGAAAGCGACCUAGCCAAAGAGACUCAAAGGGGGUCCUUGCUACCUGUGAAAUGUUGCUGACUUUUAGCUGCUCUGCGAAGUCUCUUAAAUGAAAUUUAUUUCGACGACAACACUUUAUAUUAACUGCCAUUCGACUUUGUUUUUCUCUCGAAAGAAAUCGUUUAGUCCGAAGCAAGUCAACUUAGUUGUUGUCCAAAGGAAGUUAUCUUCAAAUUAAUUAUAUUAUCUUUAAAAGCAAAAAUAAAUAAAUAAAAACUUUAUAAAUACAUAUGUGUGUGUAGCUGAUAUACAUAAUAAAAAUAAAAGUCAUGCAUAUGUAUAAAAAAAUAAUUGUCCUUUUUGUGACUACACAACACAAAACUAGGCAAAUGAAGAGAGGCACGAAAGGAGGAGUGUUACGAAAAUCUGUUCGCCUAUUAAUUCAUAUACAACAAGAAAAAUAUAUAUAAAACGAGUAAAAGUUAAUAAACAAUUACAUAGUUGAAUGUUGUGAAGUCAGA
This is an RNA transcript of Rhagoletis pomonella (apple maggot), 1339 nucleotides long. RefSeq lists it as uncharacterized. The transcript has 4 exons. The record is from RefSeq and is a predicted model, not a curated record. Lineage: Eukaryota; Metazoa; Arthropoda; Insecta; Diptera; Tephritidae.